CUGCUAUUGACUUCCCAGUGCCACCCUCAGGCCCCAGGCAACUCCAGGCCUUGGGACCCCCUUUUAGCAUCAGAAAUGCCCACCCCUUCCCUCCACUCCUGGAAACUUCCUCCUAUCCUCCCAAGCCCAGCCCUGACACCAUCUCCUCCGCCAGCCUGCCUGGGACUCCCAGGCAGGACUACAUAGACAGCCCAGACCGCCAGGGAGCAGAGUCAGGAGGGAAACCCCAGGGGCCCAGGAGGAUCAGGACAGCUGGCCCAGAGGUGACUCCAUUUGCAUUCGUAUCUGGUGCCUACGUGGGUGGGGUGGAGGGCAGAGGAGCCUAACAACCCCUAGGGACCAUCCCUGUCCCCCAGAUCAUGCUGUUUCUGCUCCCCAAACCCAGACUCGGAGGCAGGUCCAGGGGGUGCUGGAUGGAGGCCG
This 423-nucleotide long non-coding RNA is filed under the name Homo sapiens (human). RNAcentral describes it as "HSALNT0279100". Lineage: Eukaryota; Metazoa; Chordata; Mammalia; Primates; Hominidae. The record is from RNAcentral.